This 472-nucleotide ribosomal RNA is filed under the name uncultured bacterium. RNAcentral describes it as "partial 16S ribosomal RNA". It matches the Rfam family "Bacterial small subunit ribosomal RNA", at positions 28 to 507 of the family's 1533-position model. The record is from RNAcentral.
GACGAACGCUGGCGGCGUGCUUAACACAUGCAAGUCGAACGCUGAAGCUUGGUGCUUGCACUGGGUGGAUGAGUGGCGAACGGGUGAGUAAUACGUGAGUAACCUGCCCUUGACUCUGGGAUAAGCCUGGGAAACUGGGUCUAAUACUGGAUACGACAUGUCACCGCAUGGUGGUGUGUGGAAAGGGUUUUAGUGGUUUUAGAUGGGCUCACGGCCUAUCAGCUUGCUGGUGGGGUAAUGGCUCACCAAGGCGAAGACGGGUAGCCGGCCUGAGAGGGUGACCGGCCACACUAGGACUGAGGGACGGCCCAGACGCGUACGGGAGGCAGCAGUGGAGAGUAUUGCACAGUGGGCGGGAGCCUGAUGCAGCGGCGCCGCGUGAGGGAUGACGGCCUUCGGGUUGUGAACCUCUUUCAGCACGGAAGAAGCGAAAGUGACGGUACGUACAGAAAAAGCGCCGGCUAACUACGUG